CCUACGGGUGGCAGCAGUGGGGAAUAUUGCACAAUGGGGGAAACCCUGAUGCAGCGACGCCGCGUGAGCGAAGAAGGUUUUCAAAUCGUAAAGCUCUGUCCUAUGAGAAGAUAAUGACGGUAUCAUAGGAGGAAGCCCCGGCUAAAUACGUGCCAGCAGCCGCGGUAAUACGUAUGGGGCGAGCGUUGUCCGGAAUUAUUGGGCGUAAAGGGUACGUAGGCGGCCUUUUAAGUCAGGUGUGAAAGCGUGAGGCUUAACCUCAUUAAGCACUUGAAACUGGAAGGCUUGAGUGAAGGAGAGGAAAGUGGAAUUCCUAGUGUAGCGGUGAAAUGCGUAGAUAUUAGGAGGAAUACCGGUGGCGAAGGCGACUUUCUGGACUUUUACUGACGCUCAGGUACGAAAGCGUGGGGAGCAAACAGGAUUAGAUACCCUUGUAGUC
Molecule: ribosomal RNA, 439 nt
Filed under: uncultured Parvimonas sp.
Lineage: Bacteria; Bacillati; Bacillota; Tissierellia; Tissierellales; Peptoniphilaceae
Description: bacterial SSU rRNA
Rfam family: Bacterial small subunit ribosomal RNA
Source: RNAcentral